RNAcentral lists this transfer RNA (63 nucleotides) under Dipodomys ordii (Ord's kangaroo rat). It matches the Rfam family "tRNA", at positions 1 to 62 of the family's 71-position model. From Rfam's summary of the family: Transfer RNA (tRNA) molecules are approximately 80 nucleotides in length. Their secondary structure includes four short double-helical elements and three loops (D, anti-codon, and T loops). Further hydrogen bonds mediate the characteristic L-shaped molecular structure. tRNAs have two regions of fundamental functional importance: the anti-codon, which is responsible for specific mRNA codon recognition, and the 3' end, to which the tRNAs corresponding amino acid is attached (by aminoacyl-tRNA synthetases). tRNAs cope with the degeneracy of the genetic code in two manners: having more than one tRNA (with a specific anti-codon) for a particular amino acid; and 'wobble' base-pairing, i.e. permitting non-standard base-pairing at the 3rd anti-codon position. Lineage: Eukaryota; Metazoa; Chordata; Mammalia; Rodentia; Heteromyidae. The record is from Rfam by way of RNAcentral.
GGGAAUGUGGCUUAGUGGUAGAGUGCUUGCCUAGCAUGCAUGAAACCCUGGGUUCCAUUCCUC